Molecule: ribosomal RNA, 367 nt
Filed under: Morphosphaera japonica
Lineage: Eukaryota; Metazoa; Arthropoda; Insecta; Coleoptera; Chrysomelidae
Description: partial 16S ribosomal RNA
Source: RNAcentral
UUAAAUGGCUGCAGUAUUUUGACUGUACUAAGGUAGCAUAAUCAUUAGUUUUUUAAUUGAAAGCUAGAAUGAAGGGUUGGAUGAGAAAAAAAAUGUCUCUAUAAAAUUAGAUUAUAAUUUUAUUUUUAAGUUAAAAAGCUUAAAUAAUUUUAAAAGACGAGAAGACCCUAUAGAGUUUUAUAAUUUUUAUUUAUUAUAUUUUUAGUAUUAAAAAUUAUAAUAAUUAAGAAUUAUUUAAUUGGGGUGAUUGAAAAAUUUAUUUAACUUUUUUUUUAUUAUUAUAUAAAUUAAUAAAUUAUUGAUCCAAUUAUUUUGAUUAUAAGAUUAAAUUACCUUAGGGAUAACAGCGUAAUUUUAUUAGAAAGUU